UGCCACUAUUACUUUGAAAGCUACUUUCU
Molecule: non-coding RNA, 29 nt
Filed under: Mus musculus (house mouse)
Lineage: Eukaryota; Metazoa; Chordata; Mammalia; Rodentia; Muridae
Source: RNAcentral